RNAcentral lists this ribosomal RNA (497 nucleotides) under uncultured bacterium. RNAcentral describes it as "partial 16S ribosomal RNA". It matches the Rfam family "Bacterial small subunit ribosomal RNA", at positions 28 to 507 of the family's 1533-position model. The record is from RNAcentral.
GAUGAACGCUGGCGGCGUGCCUAAUACAUGCAAGUCGAGCGAACGGACGAGAAGCUUGCUUCUCUGAUGUUAGCGGCGGACGGGUGAGUAACACGUGGAUAACCUACCUAUAAGACUGGGAUAACUUCGGGAAGCCGGUGCUAAUAACGGAUAAUAUUUUGAACCGCAUGGUUCAAAAGUGAAAGACGGUCUUGCUGUCACUUAUAGAUGGAUCCGCGCUGCAUUAGCUAGUUGGUAAGGUAACGGCUUACCAAGGCAACGAUGCAUAGCCGACCUGAGAGGGUGAUCGGCCACACUGGAACUGAGACACGGUCCAGACUCCUACGGGAGGCAGCAGUAGGGAAUCUUCCGCAAUGGGCGAAAGCCUGACGGAGCAACGCCGCGUGAGUGAUGAAGGUCUUCGGAUCGUAAAACUCUGUUAUUAGGGAAGAACAUAUGUGUAAGUAACUGUGCACAUCUUGACGGUACCUAAUCAGAAAGCCACGGCUAACUACGUG